This 501-nucleotide ribosomal RNA is filed under the name uncultured bacterium. Its description in RNAcentral is "partial 16S ribosomal RNA". It matches the Rfam family "Bacterial small subunit ribosomal RNA", at positions 30 to 523 of the family's 1533-position model. The record is from RNAcentral.
AUUGAACGCUGGCGGCAGGCUUAACACAUGCAAGUCGAGCGGAGAUGAGGUGCUUGCACCUUAUCUUAGCGGCGGACGGGUGAGUAAUGCUUAGGAAUCUGCCUAUUAGUGGGGGACAACAUUCCGAAAGGAAUGCUAAUACCGCAUACGUCCUACGGGAGAAAGCAGGGGAUCUUCGGACCUUGCGCUAAUAGAUGAGCCUAAGUCGGAUUAGGUAGUUGGUGGGGUAAAGGCCUACCAAGGCGACGAUCUGUAGCGGGUCUGAGAGGAUGAUCCGCCACACUGGGACUGAGACACGGCCCAGACUCCUACGGGAGGCAGCAGUGGGGAAUAUUGGACAAUGGGGGAAACCCUGAUCCAGCCAUGCCGCGUGUGUGAAGAGGGCCUUAUGGUUGUAAAGCACUUUAAGCGAGGAGGAGGCUACUGAGACUAAUACUCUUGGAUAGUGGACGCUACUCGCAGAAUAAGCACCGGCUAACUCUGUGCCAGCCGCCGCAGUAA